CUCAAUGUACAAAAUCGUCACCGCAACAGCAACCAGCCACCAACAAAUCGGAGGCGGCGAUGGUGCUAAUUGUAUUGCGGUGGAAGAUGGGCCUGAGCCCGGCACGCUGUUCUUCUCUUUUUGCAUCGAUCUUCCUCUCUCCAUAUUGCACCGUCACCACCCUAGCCUUCGUAGUCAGUCAUCACCGAAGAUCCGCGUGCUGCUGCUGACUCGGAGCGCCGUGAUUGCCACCGUUGCGAGAUCCGCUAGCCCAUGCCCCGCGCCCCGGCAUUGAAUCAGCCUCCAGGCGAGCCACACUUGCCAGCCCUGGCGUCCUCUUCGAACAUCAAAACCGUGAGAGGUAGGGACGCCCCUCCUCCCUUUCUAUCCUUAGAUCUGAAUGAGUCUCUGAUUUAUGUGUUGUAGAGAGCAUUUUCUUACUAGGAAGCUCUUCGUCUCCAGCAGCCUCCUCAAAACCUCAUUGUGGCAGCAAGUCAGGUUAGCCUCUUUAUCUCUCAUCUUCGUUUAUAACAAAAACAACUACAAUCAUGUUCCAUACCAUUACUAUGGCCAACUGCAAUCCUGCAUAUCUUCAUAUCUCUCCCAUGUUACUUUAGUAAAGAUUUUAUUGGUAUUUGUAUGGCUUUUCUAUGGUUAUUUUGUAGAAUCAUGAUCAGAGCAUAUUCAAGUUCAUUUUCAGGUAUGUUGCUCCCUGGUAGUAUUAUUCCAUCGUUAAUGGCAAGGGAUUGGUCGGGACCCGAGUGAUACAAUGGUGGUGAUUGACAUCGAUGUUAUUCCACCUACUGCCGGGUUUUAUUAUUUUCACAGAUAAUCAUCUACAUAAAAAAUGAAAAGGAAUAUGCAGUGACUCUUAUGAACAUACUUGCAUUCUCUCUGUAAUUCAAGAUAACUAUAUGGUUCCUACAGCCCCAUACCACAUGCAGGCCAUCUGUUUCAACCAAAUAUUUGUUAGCAAGCAAAAGGAUCUCAAAUUAAUACAAAAGGAUCUCAAAUUAGCUUUAAGUCUUUUUGUUUCUUGCUCAAAUUAUAUUAUAUAGAAUUAUAAUGAUAAAAAUCUG
This 1058-nucleotide long non-coding RNA is filed under the name Triticum aestivum (bread wheat). RNAcentral describes it as "long non-coding RNA (TAES_LNC002470)". The record is from RNAcentral. Lineage: Eukaryota; Viridiplantae; Streptophyta; Magnoliopsida; Poales; Poaceae.